RNAcentral lists this unclassified non-coding RNA (675 nucleotides) under Hevea brasiliensis (rubber tree). Lineage: Eukaryota; Viridiplantae; Streptophyta; Magnoliopsida; Malpighiales; Euphorbiaceae. The record is from RNAcentral.
GAGUUUUUGGAGGACAAUUGUUUCGCAGGUGGUGAUACUGUAAGCACAAAUGCUACAAUUGGAGAUGGACAGGAAGAUGGUCUUUCUCUGUACCAAACGGCUCGUUUUGGCAACUUCUUGUACUGUUUUCCUGCACUGGAACCAGGGAAUUAUGCUGUGAGUCUGCAUUUUGCGGAAAUUGUAUUCACAGACGGUCCUCCUGGAAUGAGAGUGUUUGAUGUUUUUAUACAACAGAAAAAGGCUGUUUCCUGCCUAGACAUAUAUGCUGAAGUAGAUGCAAAUAAGCCCCUGGUUAUAUCUGACCUAAAGACUUGUGUUUAUGGUGAGGAUGGCUUAUCCAUUAGGUUUGAAGGAGUAAUUGGAAGCCCAAUCAUAUGUGGCAUUUCUAUAACCAAAGAUUCUUCUGCUUACGCUGGAGAAGCUCAAUUGUUGAAACGAAUGGGAAUAUCUGAAGUGGCAGAAUGCAACUCACCCAAACAAGAUAAUGGUGGCCGAGAAGUGAAGGGAGAUUCCCAGGAGCUACUUAGACAUGUUGAGUUUCAGAAAAGGGAACUAAAAGAGAUGAUGAGGGCAUUGGAGGAGCUUAAAAGGGAAAACCAACUUAAGAAUAGGGAAUGCCAAGAUGCUUGGAAGUCCUUACAGGAGCUACAGAAUGAGCUUAUGCGCAAGUCUAUG